Molecule: long non-coding RNA, 268 nt
Filed under: Volvox carteri
Lineage: Eukaryota; Viridiplantae; Chlorophyta; Chlorophyceae; Chlamydomonadales; Volvocaceae
Description: long non-coding RNA (VCAR_LNC000871)
Source: RNAcentral
AGAGAUAUUGCAUGAUGGUUGUUAUGGUAAUCCAUACCCUCCUUAAGUUCUUAGAUAGAUUCUAUACCAUACUUAAAUUUUCAAACUGGAUAUUAGCUCGUCUUUUAUCAUCCUAACACCAUCAAUAAUUAUUUAGCAUCAUCACUUACAAUUUGGGGGAUAUGCGAUAAAGCCCCGGAAAAAUUACCAGUUACCGGUAAUAAUAAUGGCUUUCCCUAAUGCAAUAACUGAAUAAUUUCUGGCUUCUUUUCGAUUUCUUAUAUUCUCG